This 451-nucleotide ribosomal RNA is filed under the name uncultured bacterium. Its description in RNAcentral is "partial 16S ribosomal RNA". It matches the Rfam family "Bacterial small subunit ribosomal RNA", at positions 354 to 796 of the family's 1533-position model. The record is from RNAcentral.
GUGAGGAAUCUUGCGCAAUGGGGGCAACCCUGACGCAGCCACGCCGCGUGGGUGAAGAAGGCCUUCGGGUCGUAAAGCCCUGUCAGGUGGGAAGAAUCGCAGGUCGGUGAAUAAUCGGCUUGUCUGACGGUACCACCAAAGGAAGCACCGGCUAACUCCGUGCCAGCAGCCGCGGUAAUACGGAGGGUGCAAGCGUUGUUCGGAAUUACUGGGCGUAAAGCGCGUGUAGGCGGCUUGGUAAGUCGGAUGUGAAAUCCCUCGGCUUAACCGAGGACGUGCAUCCGAUACUGCUAGGCUUGAGUCUCGGAGAGGGAAGUGGAAUUCCCGGUGUAGAGGUGAAAUUCGUAGAUAUCGGGAGGAACACCAGUGGCGAAGGCGACUUCCUGGACGAAGACUGACGCUGAGACGCGAAAGCGUGGGGAGCAAACAGGAUUAGAUACCCGUGUAGUCC